Molecule: non-coding RNA, 30 nt
Filed under: Mus musculus (house mouse)
Lineage: Eukaryota; Metazoa; Chordata; Mammalia; Rodentia; Muridae
Source: RNAcentral
UACCAAGAAUUGAGUGGGUUUCACCUCCAC